RNAcentral lists this transfer RNA (73 nucleotides) under Tursiops truncatus (common bottlenose dolphin). It matches the Rfam family "tRNA". From Rfam's summary of the family: Transfer RNA (tRNA) molecules are approximately 80 nucleotides in length. Their secondary structure includes four short double-helical elements and three loops (D, anti-codon, and T loops). RNAcentral also lists the same sequence under 9 other names. The record is from Rfam by way of RNAcentral. Lineage: Eukaryota; Metazoa; Chordata; Mammalia; Artiodactyla; Delphinidae.
UCCCUGGUGGUCCAGUGGCUAAGACUCCAUGCUCCCAAUGCAGGGGGCCUGGGUUCGAUCCCUGGUCAGGGAA